This is a long non-coding RNA of Crotalus tigris (Tiger rattlesnake), 920 nucleotides long. RefSeq lists it as uncharacterized. The transcript has 2 exons. Lineage: Eukaryota; Metazoa; Chordata; Lepidosauria; Squamata; Viperidae. The record is from RefSeq and is a predicted model, not a curated record.
CAUGUGAAUGUUAUGUUAUGUUUGCAUUUCAUUUUCGGAGGACUUCCUCUUCCUUCUCCCUAUCCCCAGUAAAUUAAUCAAAAUGAGUCGUUCAUCCAGAAUAAUUUUAAAAGAGAGGAAGAAUAAUAUUUCAUGCCAGGAAAGCUUGGUUAAAAUAAUGAAAAAUCACUCUCAGCUUAGAAAUUAUUUAUUUAUAGGACAAAUCUUAUAUUAACAUUUUUUUUAAAAAAAAACAACGUAUAAACAACAGCUGAAUCAACAACAAACCCCCUCCUGAUUUACACUUAUUAAAUAUUUGAUUGUCAUGUUAAUACUUCAUAUUCUGCCUUUUAUUUGCAUUUUAAUCUAUGGAAUAUUUACAGUAUUUUUGUCCCCCCCCCGUGAUUGAUUACAGAUGGGGGGGGAGAGCAUAACGACCCUCAAGCUAGUUUUUCCUCUCCCUCCCCCUUUCGCUGUUUACGAAGCUUUUUUCAACAAUGGUAAUGCGACCAGGACAAAUAAAUUAUGUCCUUUCUAGACGUCAGAGAAACACUGUUCUAUUUCCUCCCCAAUACUUAUUUUUAUUCUCCUCAAUCUCCAGCAUGGUUUUAGGUUUAAGAUGAAAAGUUCCAGAAUCACUAAAAAUGCUCUCGGUCGCCUCAAGUGUGUUGAGAAGAGGUCGGACAGUCUCCUGUUGCCAGACAAACAACGGAAGACAAAAGAUACAGCCACGAGUCGUUUCUUCCCUUGCUUAAUUUCCUGGCUUUAUUUGCCAAUACAUUUUUGGUUCGGGUGGCUCCCAGGAUCCAGUUAUUCGGUGGGACCCAGUCCGGUCUCUAAAAUUUGGGCAGUGGUGACCCUUUCUGUAUAGAAAAUAGAUGUCUGCGGAGGAGCGGUCGCCCACUUCUGUCCUAAACAAUUAUUAAACGUGUCUGGUUUUU